GACGAACGCUGGCGGCGUGCUUAACACAUGCAAGUCGAACGGUAAGGCUCCAGCUUGCUGGGGUACACGAGUGGCGAACGGGUGAGUAACACGUGGGUGACCUGCCCUGCACUUCGGGAUAAGCCUGGGAAACUGGGUCUAAUACCGGAUAGGACCGCACCGUGAGGGUGUGGUGGAAAGUUUUUUCGGUGUGGGAUGGGCCCGCGGCCUAUCAGCUUGUUGGUGGGGUAAUGGCCUACCAAGGCGGCGACGGGUAGCCGGCCUGAGAGGGUGGACGGCCACAUUGGGACUGAGACACGGCCCAGACUCCUACGGGAGGCAGCAGUGGGGAAUAUUGCACAAUGGGCGGAAGCCUGAUGCAGCGACGCCGCGUGGGGGAUGACGGCCUUCGGGUUGUAAACUCCUCUCACCAUCGACGAAGGGUUUCUGACGGUAGAUGGAGAAGAAGCACCGGCUAACUACGUGCCAGCAGCCGCGGUAAUACGUAGGGUGCGAGCGUUGUCCGGAAUUACUGGGCGUAAAGAGCUCGUAGGUGGUUUGUCGCGUCGUCUGUGAAAUUCCGGGGCUUAACUCCGGGCGUGCAGGCGAUACGGGCAUAACUUGAGUACUGUAGGGGAGACUGGAAUUCCUGGUGUAGCGGUGAAAUGCGCAGAUAUCAGGAGGAACACCGGUGGCGAAGGCGGGUCUCUGGGCAGUAACUGACGCUGAGGAGCGAAAGCAUGGGGAGCGAACAGGAUUAGAUACCCUGGUAGUCCAUGCCGUAAACGGUGGGCGCUAGGUGUGGGUUUCCUUCCACGGGAUCCGUGCCGUAGCUAACGCAUUAAGCGCCCCGCCUGGGGAGUACGGCCGCAAGGCUAAAACUCAAAGGAAUUGACGGGGGCCCGCACAAGCGGCGGAGCAUGUGGAUUAAUUCGAUGCAACGCGAAGAACCUUACCUGGGCUUGACAUAUACAGGAUCGCGCCAGAGAUGGUGUUUCCCUUGUGGCUUGUAUACAGGUGGUGCAUGGUUGUCGUCAGCUCGUGUCGUGAGAUGUUGGGUUAAGUCCCGCAACGAGCGCAACCCUUGUCUUAUGUUGCCAGCACGUUGUGGUGGGGACUCGUAAGAAACUGCCGGGGUUAACUCGGAGGAAGGUGGGGAUGACGUCAAAUCAUCAUGCCCCUUAUGUCCAGGGCUUCACACAUGCUACAAUGGUCGGUACAGUGGGUUGCCAGUCCGUGAGGGCGAGCUAAUCCCGCAAAGCCGGUCUCAGUUCGGAUCGGGGUCUGCAACUCGACCCCGUGAAGUCGGAGUCGCUAGUAAUCGCAGAUCAGCAACGCUGCGGUGAAUACGUUCCCGGGCCU
Molecule: ribosomal RNA, 1341 nt
Filed under: uncultured bacterium
Lineage: Bacteria
Description: 16S ribosomal RNA
Rfam family: Bacterial small subunit ribosomal RNA
Source: RNAcentral